RNAcentral lists this transfer RNA (83 nucleotides) under Corynebacterium jeddahense. Its description in RNAcentral is "tRNA-Leu". It matches the Rfam family "tRNA". Rfam says of the family: Transfer RNA (tRNA) molecules are approximately 80 nucleotides in length. Lineage: Bacteria; Bacillati; Actinomycetota; Actinomycetes; Mycobacteriales; Corynebacteriaceae. The record is from RNAcentral.
GCGCCCGUGGCGGAAUUGGCAGACGCGCUGGAUUUAGGUUCCAGUGCCUUAUGGCGUGGGAGUUCAAGUCUCCCCGGGCGCAC